RNAcentral lists this transfer RNA (80 nucleotides) under Muricoccus nepalensis. RNAcentral's name for it is "Roseomonas nepalensis tRNA-Lys". The record is from RNAcentral. Lineage: Bacteria; Pseudomonadati; Pseudomonadota; Alphaproteobacteria; Acetobacterales; Roseomonadaceae.
GGCUGCAUGAAAGUGCGGUGUAGAUGGUGAGGUGACUUUUAAUCAGCGGGUCGUAGGUUCAAGCCCUACUGCGCCCACCA